GCUUACAGCCACACCACUGUGACAACGCCCGAUCCCGUCUGAUCUCGGAAGCUAAGUGCGGUCAGGCCCAGUUAGUACUUGGGGGCUGCAGGGU
RNAcentral lists this ribosomal RNA (94 nucleotides) under Stegastes partitus (bicolor damselfish). Lineage: Eukaryota; Metazoa; Chordata; Actinopteri; Pomacentridae. The record is from RNAcentral.